Molecule: small nucleolar RNA, 138 nt
Organism: Ornithorhynchus anatinus (platypus)
Lineage: Eukaryota; Metazoa; Chordata; Mammalia; Monotremata; Ornithorhynchidae
Source: RefSeq, a predicted model, not a curated record
CAUCUCUCAGGAUGGCAUCUGGAGAGUUUCCAAUACUCUAACAGUCUCAAUUCUGGGAGGGAGAGUCAAGCAGAGGCAUAUCCAUUCCAUUCCUAGCUUGGGCAGUGGCUAGCCAGUGGAAGACAACCUGCUGCAAGU